Molecule: long non-coding RNA, 420 nt
Filed under: Olea europaea subsp. europaea
Lineage: Eukaryota; Viridiplantae; Streptophyta; Magnoliopsida; Lamiales; Oleaceae
Source: RNAcentral
GUAAAAUGAAUAACAGUAAUACAUAGAUCAAGAUUGGGUCCACGAAAAAUAUGGCAUGACCGCAAUAAGUUUCUUGCGCUGAAGGCACCGGGGGUAAUUAUUCUGGAACCUCGAACUGAAACUAGGAAACCCCUCGAUUGAAUUAUCCGUUAUCGGAUUUGUUUGUGAAAACGCUGAUUCUGAAGUCGACUUGAGUUGGCGCAGAGCAACCAGAGUUUGAGCAUCAAUUUCUUUUGAUUUCUCGGCGAUUUUCGAAUAUCUGAUUUUGGAUAAAGCUCCAGGCUUAAGGUAUGUGUAAAAAGAAGGCCGCGAUUUCGGUGUUAUGAAAGUGUUGCUUCUCACUCUAGAUUUCAUGACGAGAAAUAGCAAAUGUGCUAAUAACUUGGUGUUUGUGAGAAAAAAACUGAAUGUAAACCCUAG